AACGAACGCUGGCGGCGCGCUUAACACAUGCAAGUCGAGCGGACCCGCAAGGGUUAGCGGCGUACGGGUGAGUAACACGUGGGUAAUCUGCCCUGAAGACCGGGAUAACUCGGCGAAAGCCGAGCUAAUACUGGAUGAGCAUCCGGUGAGGCAUCUCACAGGGUGAAAAGUGGCAACAUACUUCAGGAUGAGCCCGCGGC
Molecule: ribosomal RNA, 200 nt
Filed under: uncultured bacterium
Lineage: Bacteria
Description: partial 16S ribosomal RNA
Rfam family: Bacterial small subunit ribosomal RNA
Source: RNAcentral